Saccostrea cuccullata (small rock oyster) is the source of this 4132-nucleotide RNA transcript. It is a transcript of the gene named prolow-density lipoprotein receptor-related protein 1-like, with no coding region annotated. The record is from RefSeq and is a predicted model, not a curated record. The transcript is spliced from 25 exons. Lineage: Eukaryota; Metazoa; Mollusca; Bivalvia; Ostreida; Ostreidae.
GUUGCCUUUUGGAACAGGAAGAUGGUGACUUUGCAUGCAGCAAAAUUCUUAGUUUUAGCAUCAGUAUUUGGACCCAUCACAUACGGUACUGCUGCUGACAAAGGCUUAAUUCUUGGUAUGUGGAGUCCUGCUGCAUUUGCAACCAUUACAGAAAUACCAGUCAAAGAUGCUGAUUAUUUUGGCAAUGUAUCUAAAACCCUCACCCCCUCGACUGUUCAGACAUACAGCAUUGCGUCUGAUCCUCAGAAUAAAGUGGUUUUUGCUGCAAUAAGGGACUCAAUUUACAAAUUUCAAAACUUCACCAUUUGGCAGAACGGAACAGUUUCCCUUUCCUUGGCUCACAAAGGGAAAUCCUCAGCGUUUGGACAAAUUGCAUUUGACUACUCUUCAGGCAAUAUAUAUUGGUGCGAUUCUCUCCUCAAAUGGAUUGCCGUAAAGCCAGCAUACAGUAACAAUGAUACGAUAUAUACAGUUGUUGUUCACAAGGAUUUGUACCAACCGGAGGGAUUAGCACUUGAUCCUGAAAAUGGCUUAAUGUUCUUUACGGACAAUGAACCACAUCCACGUAUUGAAAAGGCAUCCAUGGAUGGUGAGAAUAGAACUACAAUAAUUCAUACCGGUUUAAUUCGAGUAUUAGCCCUUUCCGUUGAUACAGACAGAGAUUUACUGUUCUGGGCAGACUAUGGUAGGCACACUAUUGAGGUCAGCGACUAUGACGGUUUAAAUAGAAGAGUAAUUCGACGUAACAACAACGUCCCUGCAACAGGUUUACACUACUAUCAGAAUAUGCUACAUGUUUCAAGUCUAAAGGCUAGGUUGAUCUUUGGUGUAGAUACAAUAUCAGGAUCACAACUGUACAAUCUGCAAUUGUCAGGUCAGCCGUAUGCCAUUCACGUCUAUGACGGAGAAUCAGCAAGAUCAUACGCUGGUCAGUGUUCUUCCCGAGGUUGUCAGCAUAUCUGUGUAAACUCGCCAGUAGGAGCUAAAUGUCUCUGUGCUGAGGGGUACCUUCUAUCCUCAGACGGAAAGUCCUGCACAGACCGUUCCUGGUUUCACGAGAGAGGCUUCAUUGUAAGCAAUGCAACACAUUUUGCUAUGGUGGAAGUUCAAUUCAUUAAUGGAGGAAAAGGAUGGAUUCCAUUCCUGAUACCCUCCGCCAUUAUUGGAUCAUUUGCUGUGGAUGCCAACUUGCACAUUAUCUACUUUUUGGACACCAGUAGUAAUGCAUUGGAAGAAUUAAAUAUCAUUAAUCGUCAGAUUAGAACUCUGGCUACCAAUGUGGUCGCUACAGAUCUCAUUUUUGACUGGAUUGCUAAUCUUCUUGCGUGGAUUGAACCUGCGCAAUCUGCAAUACGAGCAUUUUCUAUCACUUCUGGGACGACAACUUUAAUAUACUCCGGACUUCAACAGCCUUCAUCUCUAACAGUGGAUGCUCAUAAUGGAGACCUCUACUGGAUAUCAGGAACCUCUAGGAAGACGAUAAUGAGAGGAAAUUGGAAUAGGAAUUCUCCGACAACCAUUGUGUCCGAGGAAAAUCUCAGUAAUCCGACUUCUCUUCGAUAUGAUGUUACAAGUCACAGAAUUUACUGGCUGGAUAAUUCUAUGAUUAAAAGCUCAUUUAUAAAUGGAUCUGAUAUUAAAAGCCAUCUUAUCACAUUUGGUGCAACAGAGGCGUUACCAUAUAAGGAUUUUUUCGGUUGGAUAAAUGGAAACAAAACGUAUUUUGCUAGAAGGUCAGCUAUAUCUGCCGAGUAUGAAGUAGAUGUAAUACAAAACAUAAAACAUAUGACUAUAUUUGAUGCUUUAAUACAACAGGACAGGAGAGGCAGUUGUCAAAUACUGAAUGGUGGCUGCGAAGGAAUUUGUGUGCCUUUGCAAAAUGGACGGAAAUGCGAGUGCGACUUUGGACUACAAGCAAAAGAUUUGACAUGCGAAAGUAGUUUCUUUUUGAAGAAUUUUAUUAUAGUUUUGGAUUAUUCUCACGGCCGAAUCCUUCAGGCUGAUAUUAACACAGGAAACAUUGUCAAACUGCCGAUCAAUAUACAAAACUCUCCAGGCAUCACAUUUGAUAAAUCAGCAAUGGAACUCAUUUACUCUGAAGUACAAACAAAAACAAUUAUGUCCACAACACUUCAUGGAACAAACACGUCUUUGAUCUAUGCCACAGGUUUUGCACAUGCUGAUCGUUUAACUAUUGACUAUUCCACUGGAAAUAUUUACUACACUGCAGUCGGUUCUAGUCAGUCUCAAAGUUAUAUUGGUGUUAUACACAGGAGGAGUUUACUUCAUAAAACAUUGUUGACAAACCUACACAGUCCAAGAGAAAUUGCGGUAUAUCCAUCGAAAGGGUUUUUAUACUGGACAGCGUUUGGAAAUAUUGCUGAAAUAAGUAGGUCAUAUAUGGAUGGAACAUCCAAAAUGUAUAUUGCAACAACGAAUAUUGGUUGGCCAAACGGCUUUUCCAUUGAUUUUGCCACAAACAAAAUAUUUUGGGCUGAUGGUUUGAAGAACAGCAUAGAGUAUUCAGAUUUAAAUGGUGAGAACAGGAAUAUUUUGACAACUGACAGUGACGCACAUUUGAUGAGCAUUGUGGUUCACGGACAAUACCUCUAUUAUACUGCAUGGAAUCGACAACGCAUUACAAAAAUGGAUAAAGCAACAGGUGCUAAACUAAUCUUUAUGCCUAAUUACCCUGAACUUGGUAGACUAGAUAGCCUAGAUAUAUAUGCAGACGAUACUAUGGACGUGAACGCCAUUUGUUCAAAAAAGAACCGUAACUGCAGUACUUUCUGUUUCUCUACACCAACUGGAAGAACGUGUGGAUGUCAGGAUAAUGUUAAUUUGCAAGCAGACCAAAAAACAUGCCAAGGAGUAUUCCGCUGCACUUCUCCUUUGCCAAAUAUCAAUUUGCUAGACUGUCUUGCUUUUCCUGGAGAAAUAUGUGAAUUUGAGUGCAAGCCUGGAUUUAGACGUGACGUCAACACUUCUAUUACAUGUAACCAGCUUAGCCAAUGGGAUCCACCCACGGCAUCUCUAUGUUCAGAAAUAUUUUGUUCACCAUCACUCACAAAUGCUGUUCUAUCGUCAAAUUGUUCGCGAAGCGUUAACAAAUCAUGCACAUUUGAGUGUUCUGAAGGCUAUAGUCGAACGACUUUGCAAAGUUUAAUGUGCACUAUGAACGGUACAUGGAACCUGGAUACCAACAGUUUAUGUUUACGUUCUAGCUGCUCAAAGACGAUACAAAAUGGCCAAUUUACUAAUUGUUCGGCAAAAAUUGGAGAGACGUGUCAGUAUGGAUGCAACAGUCCCUUUGAAAUAAAUCCUAAGAUUCUAAAUGUUACUUGCCAUACAAGCCGGGAAUGGAGCCAUGAUACAAACAACUUAUGCAUACAAUUAUGCACACCAACAAUCCAAAAUGGAAAUCUAGGACCAGGUUGUCCGAGAACUAUUGGCAGCACCUGUUCAUUUUCUUGUGACAUAGGUCACAAAUCAUCCAUUUCCUCUCAAAGCAUUAUUUGUACUUCAGACGGUAGUUGGAGCGAAACGACCGCAGAAUUAUGCCAACGAUCUAGCUGUUCGAAGAGUAUACAAAAUGGCAAAUUUAUAGACUGUCAGUCAAACAUUGGAGAAACCUGUCAAUAUGAAUGUAACAGUCCUUUUGAAAUGAAUCCAUCUUUUACAAAUGUUACCUGUAAUUCAAGCAGCUACUGGAAUCAUGACCCAGGCGAUCUUUGUGUGUGAUUAUGUCUAAAAAUGAUUCAAAACGGGAAACUAGAUCCAAGAUGUGAAAGACAAAUUGGAAACAAAGCAAAGAUGUGCUUUGGAAAUCAGAAAUGGUAAUUUUUCUUCGCUAUGUCAGGGGUACGUUGGAGAGAAGUGCGAAGUGGCGUGUUACAAAGAAUUCAAAGCGAGUGUUUUACAUUUGAUUUGUACGUCCACAGGAACAUGGGACAAAGAUACAAAUAGCAUCUGUGAAAAGAUUAAGCAUCAAAUCAUAGCAGAUGAAAAGGAUAAAACAGGCCUUUACAUCGGAAUCCCAGUUGCUUGUGUCCUUGUUAUUGUGGUGAUAACAGUUGCUAUUUUAGUUCUCAGGAAGAGGAAUCCAUCUGAGUAAGCAGUUUUUAAUUUUUGA